RNAcentral lists this long non-coding RNA (510 nucleotides) under Bos taurus (domestic cattle). RNAcentral's name for it is "long non-coding RNA NONBTAT006720". The record is from RNAcentral. Lineage: Eukaryota; Metazoa; Chordata; Mammalia; Artiodactyla; Bovidae.
UAAAGUAACCUAAAUAAAGGGUACAAAUUUUGAAAAGAAAAAAAAAGACUUAAUAACACCAACCAAAUAUAUCAACUUUUGAAAGAUGUCCUCUUAAUACAGCAUGUUCACUCUAUAACCAUCAUCCUAGACUUUGUUCCUACAGGCUAUCACCUUUGGAAAACUGAAUUAAGUUGAAUUUUUGAAAACUUGAUUCUAUGCUAAUGUCACCGCAGAUGUUUGCUACUUAAGUGACCCUAACAAUAAAUGUUUUGGGGGAAAAAAAAAACCACAGCUCUACUCACAAACCUUUUCAGAGCAUAUUGUUAAAAUCGGGGGCAUCUACAGGGAGUGAUUUUUAAAGAGUCUGAAGUGUUUCCAUAGCAUUUCUAUAAUGGAAAUUGCCUUUUCAUGAAACCUCCAGAUACCAAGAUGAUAUUGCUUAAUGGCAUUAGCAUCCUGUGAACUCUGAGUUAUUGUCCAAGUAUCUCCUAUCUGACUCUGAUCCCUCUUCAUUAAACACUACCCUGC